AUUGAACGCUGGCGGAAUGCUUUACACAUGCAAGUCGAACGGCAGCACGGGUGCUUGCACCUGGUGGCGAGUGGCGAACGGGUGAGUAAUACAUCGGAACGUACCCAGUCGUGGGGGAUAACGUAGCGAAAGUUACGCUAAUACCGCAUACGUCCUGAGGGAGAAAGCGGGGGACCGUAAGGCCUCGCGCGAUUGGAGCGGCCGAUGUCUGAUUAGCUAGUUGGUGAGGUAAAGGCUCACCAAGGCGACGAUCAGUAGCUGGUCUGAGAGGCUGAUCAGCCACACUGGAACAGAGACACGGUCCAGACUCCUACGGGAGGCAGCAGUGGGGAAUUUUGGACAAUGGGCGAAAGCCUGAUUCAGCCAUUCCGCGUGAGUGAAGAAGGCCUUCGGGUUGUAAAGCUCUUUCGGCAGGAACGAAACGCUCUAGAUUAAUACUCUGGGGUAAUGACGGUACUUGAAGAAGAAGCACCGGCUAACUACGUGCCAGCAGCCGCCGUAA
This 502-nucleotide ribosomal RNA is filed under the name uncultured bacterium. RNAcentral's name for it is "partial 16S ribosomal RNA". It matches the Rfam family "Bacterial small subunit ribosomal RNA", at positions 30 to 523 of the family's 1533-position model. The record is from RNAcentral.